UGAGCAAUCUGCCCUUUACUUCGGGAUAACUCCGGGAAACCGGUGCUAAUACCGAAUACGACCACUUCAGGCAUCUGAUGGUGGUGGAAAGUUCCGGCGGUGAAGGAUGAGCUCGCGGCCUAUCAGUAUGUUGGUGAGGUAACGGCCCACCAAGGCAACGACGGGUAGCCGGCCUGAGAGGGUGACCGGCCACACUGGGACUGAGACACGGCCCAGACUCCUACGGGAG
This 229-nucleotide ribosomal RNA is filed under the name uncultured bacterium. Its description in RNAcentral is "partial 16S ribosomal RNA". It matches the Rfam family "Bacterial small subunit ribosomal RNA", at positions 118 to 347 of the family's 1533-position model. The record is from RNAcentral.